AAGGCCUUAGCUUAAUUAAAGCGUUUGACUUGCACUCAAUUAAUGUGGGAUAAAGGCCCGCAGGUCUUA
Molecule: transfer RNA, 69 nt
Filed under: Gymnothorax meleagris (turkey moray)
Lineage: Eukaryota; Metazoa; Chordata; Actinopteri; Anguilliformes; Muraenidae
Also listed under: 1 other name
Description: tRNA-Ala
Rfam family: tRNA
About the family: Transfer RNA (tRNA) molecules are approximately 80 nucleotides in length. Their secondary structure includes four short double-helical elements and three loops (D, anti-codon, and T loops).
Source: RNAcentral